UCCGGUUGAUCCUGCCGGAGGCCACUGCUAUGGGGGUCCGACUAAGCCAUGCGAGUCAUGGGGCGCCUUGCGCGCACCGGCGGACGGCUCAGUAACACGUCGGUAACCUACCCUCGGGAGGGGGAUAACCCCGGGAAACUGGGGCUAAUCCCCCGUAGGCCUGAGGUACUGGAAGGUCCUCAGGCCGAAAGGGUCUUUGACCGCCCGAGGAUGGGCCGGCGGCCGAUUAGGUAGUUGGUGGGGUAACGGCCCACCAAGCCGAAGAUCGGUACGGGCCAUGAGAGUGGGAGCCCGGAGAUGGACACUGAGACACGGGUCCAGGCCCUACGGGGCGCAGCAGGCGCGAAACCUCCGCAAUGCUCGAAAGAGCGACGGGGGGACCCCCAGUGCCGUGGCAUCGCCACGGCUUUUCCGGAGUGUAAAGAGCUCCGGGAAUAAGGGCUGGGCAAGGCCGGUGGCAGCCGCCGCGGUAAUACCGGCGGCCCGAGUGGUGGCCGCUAUUAUUGGGCCUAAAGCGUCCGUAGCCGGGCCAGUAAGUCCCUGGCGAAAUCCCACGGCUCAACCGUGGGGCUUGCUGGGGAUACUGCUGGCCUUGGGACCGGG
This 603-nucleotide ribosomal RNA is filed under the name uncultured archaeon. RNAcentral describes it as "bacterial SSU rRNA". It matches the Rfam family "Archaeal small subunit ribosomal RNA", at positions 1 to 603 of the family's 1478-position model. The record is from RNAcentral.